Molecule: ribosomal RNA, 497 nt
Filed under: uncultured bacterium
Lineage: Bacteria
Description: partial 16S ribosomal RNA
Rfam family: Bacterial small subunit ribosomal RNA
Source: RNAcentral
GAUGAACGCUGGCGGCGUGCCUAAUACAUGCAAGUCGAGCGAACAGAUGAGGAGCUUGCUCCUCUGACGUUAGCGGCGGACGGGUGAGUAACACGUGGAUAACCUCCCUAUAAGACUGGGAUAACUUCGGGAAACCGGAGCUAAUACCGGAUAAUAUAUUGAACCGCAUGGUUCAAUAGUGAAAGACGGUUUUGCUGUCACUUAUAGAUGGAUCCGCGCCGCAUGAGCUAGUUGGUAAGGUAACGGCUUACCAAGGCAACGAUGCGUAGCCGACCUGAGAGGGUGAUCGGCCACACGGGAACUGAGACGCGGUCCAUACUCCUACGGGAGGCAGCAGUAGGGAAUCUGCCGCAAUGGGCGAAAGCCUGACGGAGCAACGCCGCGUGAGUGAUGAAGGUCUUCGGAUCGUAAAACUCUGUUAUUAGGGAAGAACAAAUGUGUAAGUAACUAUGCACGUCUUGACGGUACCUAAUCAGAAAGCCACGGCUAACUACGUG